RNA transcript from Fragaria vesca subsp. vesca, 1191 nucleotides. RefSeq lists it as uncharacterized. NCBI's taxonomy places the organism in Eukaryota, Viridiplantae, Streptophyta, Magnoliopsida, Rosales, Rosaceae. The record is from RefSeq and is a predicted model, not a curated record. The transcript has 5 exons.
GAAGGAAACUAGCUUAGUGCAUGUGUGUGUUGAAGGGGGAGGAGCUGAGAUUGCAUAUUUAUAUUAGUCCAAGGGGUGGUGGUCUAGGGUAGAAUGGUUCCACAUGCUUCACCAAUAAGAUAAAAGUCCUAAACGUAAUUAUCAAUUAUAAUCCGAUUCAUAGACUUAAAGCCUGGGAAUCUGGAUAUACCAAAAGAGACAAACCAAGUGUUUUCAUAUAUGAAAAUUUCCAUUCUUGGAUUUGAAUGUGAUCAGGAAGGGCACUUCAGUCACUCACCUGUGCAACAUUGCAGAAUAGAUCCUUCUCUGGUUGACCACCACCUAGGCGCGUGAAGGGUAUGAAGCAGCACUAGGUUGGCAAAGCCAUGCAGUUGUGUGGUUUUCACGUUCUGGUUUGACCCUUCUAUUUCCAUUCUGCUUCUGCAUUUUCAUAUCUAGGUUGCAAGAGCUCUCAACCUUACUUAUACUAGUAAUAAAAGCAUCUUCCAUCAUACAUACAACCAUAUAAGAUUUUCUUAUUUUUCUACAAAUUUUGCACUCAUGAUGUUAACUUGUAUUUCCUUCACCCUGAAACUGAAGGUUGGAUGUUGGUGAUGUCAAAGACACAAAUAUCAAGAAGUGUCCAAGGCCUGAUCUACAGCACCAGUGCAUCAAAUAUCUUGAACCGGGAGAGGGAAGCAUAUGAAGUGGAGUCAUAUACAGUAAUUGGAGGAUGGAGAGUAUGACAACAUGAAUUGUUUAUCACAAACGCAGCGCUCCUUGCUAUAUAUAGUUAUGCUGAGGGAGUCUUCAACAUCAAAUGUACAUGACAAUGCUACUGCACUAUUAAUGGAUGAUUCUACCACACUCCAGAUAGCUUGGUUUCUCAAUUCAUGGAAUCGGCUUGAAUGCAUCUUUUGGCAGGAAACACUUGAGUAAAUGGUGGAUAUUGAGUUUGGUUAUGAAGAACGUAUUAGAGUACAUCAUUACAGUUAAGAGGAUUUUAUGCACUCUAGAAUUGUAGUUGCUUGUAUUUGGUUUGAUGUCUCUUUUUGUAGUUUUUUAAGUUAUAUAUGAAAUGACCAUUGAAGAUGUAUUAUAUAGGUCAUUUCAGAAAUAAUAACUCAUUGAUGUUAUAGCUUAUAGGUGUCUUUAGAACAAAUAGCUCUUUGUAAAUUUUCUUGGUUUUGGCAAUGAGAAUGAAUUUGAGAU